AAGUCCCAGAAGUCAUUGCGACUGGAGAGGCCUUCUGUUCAAAUCUAUCUGUGCUGUUCCGUGUGCCUUCAGCAGAUCUCAUUUGUGAGACGUCCGUCAGCUGUCAGAAAAGCUUGAAUGCUCUAAUGGUCUGCUGAAUUCAACACACCAUCAGGAAAUAAAGCACUCGCCCCCUUUCCACCAAGCCUUUGCCAGUGCUGCAGUUUCUAUCUCUAUAAUAUUCAAGUAAGUUAUUCAUCAAUCUCUCAACACUGCCUCUGUGUUUACCACAAUCAACAUGUAAUGAGAAACACACUUUUGUAAACACCCUUAACAAUUUAAGGAAUCUGAGAGCUCUGCAUAAAACAAAUAUUUUCAAAUGCUGUAUGCAUCUAUAUCCCCAGGUAAUCCCCGCUGAGGAAAGUCGAGGAGUCGGCAACACACUGUCACUUCAACUCUGUUUCUCAGGCUCGUGGGAAAUCAAAGAAGAGAAAGCAAGAAAGAGACAGAGAGGAAGCUGGAACAGGAGAGGGGAAGGCGUAGAGAGAAAAUGAUCACACUAAACAAACAAAUUUGCCACAUUCGUGCGAAAGCGGCAAAUGCUUCCUAUCCACCAUCACAGAAGUUCUGUGUUACUUAAAGGGUUAGUUAACAUUGACUUCCCAUGUCAAUGUCAUUAU
This is a non-coding RNA of Danio rerio (zebrafish), 659 nucleotides long. The record is from RefSeq and is a predicted model, not a curated record. NCBI's taxonomy places the organism in Eukaryota, Metazoa, Chordata, Actinopteri, Cypriniformes, Danionidae.